CCCUAAAAAGUUCUGAAGACACAAAGGUUUGGUCCUAGCCUUACUAUCAAUUAUCUCUUAACUUACACAUGCAAGUCUCAGCACUCCCGUGAGGACGCCCUUUUCCCCUUCACCAGGUUAAGGAGCUGAUAUCAGGCACCACUCCCGCCCAUAACAUCUGGUCCCACCACGCCCACAAGGGUAUUCAGCAGUGAUAAACAUUGACUAUAAGCGCCAGCUUGAUUCAGUUAAAGAGAAGAGGGCCGGCCAACUCGGUGCCAGCCGCCGCGGCUAUACCCACGGGCCCAAAUUGAUUUUACUCGGCGUUAAGCGUGAUUAAAGUUCAACAAAAUUAGAGUCAAACCUAUAAUUCAGCUGUAAAAAGCACAUUCUGGGGAAGACCAAAAACGAAAGUUACUCUAAUCCACACUUGAAUACACGACAACUAGGAAACAAACUGGGAUUAGAUACCCCACUAUGCCUAGUCGUAAAAUAUUAACUUACAUCUAUAAGCGCCCGGGAAUUACGAGCUUUAGCUUAAAACCCAAAGGACUUGACGGUGUCCCACCCCACUAGAGGAGCCUGUCCUAUAAUCGAUGGUCCCCGAUUCACCUAACCUUCCCUUGCUCAUCAGCCUGUAUACCUCCGUCGUAAACUUACCAUAUGAAUGUCAUACAGUCUAGUCCAAUGAUUCGUUCAUCAAUACGUCAGGUCAAGGUGCAGCCUAUGGAAAGGAAGAGAUGGGCUACAAUUUCUAUUCUAGAACAAACGAAAUACUGCAUGAAACACAGUCAUGAAGGAGGAUUUAGCAGUAAAGAGAAAUCAAUGAGUUCCCUUUAACAUGGCCCUGGGACACGUACACACCGCCCGUCGCCCUCUUCGAUAAAUAUUAACCAGCUUCCUAACUCAAUUAACCUAAGAGAAGAGGUAAGUCGUAACAUGGUAAGUGUACUGGAAAGUGCACUUGGAUUAACAAAAUGUAGCUUAGCAAAGCACCUCGCUUACACCGAGGAGACACCCGUGAAACCCGGAUCAUUUUGAGCCCUAAACUAAGCCUAAUCUUUUAUUUAUAUCUAACCCACCCGACCCCCUCAACAAAAUAAAACAUUUUGACUUUCUAGUAGAGGCGAUCGAAAAACUUAUUAGAGCUUCACACCCAGUACCGCAAGGGAAUAGUGAAAUAGAUUUGAAACAGCCUUAAAGCACCAAAAAGCAGAGACUUCACUCGUACCUUUUGCAUCAUGGUUUAGCUAGUUUUAACUAAGCAAAGAGAGACGUUAGUUUAACACCCCGAAACUGAACGAGCUACUUCGAAACAGCUUCUAGAGCCAACCCGUCUCUGUUGCAAAAGAGUGGGAUGAUUUCCAAGUAGAGGUGAUAAGCCUAUCGAGUUCAGAGAUAGCUGGUUGUUCAGGAAAAGAAUCUUAGUUCCCCCUUAAGUUUUCUUAUUACCCUUAAAACUCCCCUAAACUUAAGAGCUAUUCAAAUAAGGCACAGCUUAUUUGAAACAGGAUACAACCUCCAAUAAAGGGUAAGUAACGACACCAUCAACCAAGUGGGCCUGAAAGCAGCCACCUUUAAAAAAGCGUUAAAGCUUAAUCCUUAUUUUCUUCAUGAAUACCUUCCUCCAUUACGAACCCUCAAUCCGUACUGAACGACUCUAUAAUUUUAUAGAAGACAUAAUGCUAAAACUAGUAACAAGAAGUUGGCCUUCUCCAAAAUGUAAGCGCAAACCAAAUCGGACUAACCAUUGGUCACUAACGUAAAUGAAUCCACUAUAGUAACACCCCCCCCCCCCCAAGAAAAACCUAUUGGCCUCGACGUUAACCUAACACAAGCACAUUUCUGGAAAGAUUAAAAGAAAAAGAAGGAACUCGGCAAAUGUAGGCCCCGCCUGUUUACCAAAAACAUCGCCUCUUGAUAACCUAUAAGAGGUCCAGCCUGCCCAGUGACAUAGUUAAACGGCCGCGGUACCCUGACCGUGCGAAGGUAGCAUAAUCACUUGUUCUUUAAAUAGGGACUAGCAUGAACGGCAUCACGAGGGUCUUACUGUCUCCUUUUUCCAAUCAGUGAAACUGAUCUCCCCGUGAAGAAGCGGGGAUUUCUCUAUAAGACGAGAAGACCCCAUGGAGCUUUAAACCCAGCAAGCAACCCUAACCACAAUACCCCCUUUAAGUUUUUAAGUUCUGCUUGCUGGUUUUAGGUUGGGGUGACCGCGGAGUAUAACCCAUCCUCCACGACGUACGGGACUUUUCCCUUAUCCAUGAACUACAAUUCUAAGAAUCAACAAGUUGACGACAAGUGAUCCAAUCUAUUGAUCAACGAACCAAGUUACCCUGGGGAUAACAGCGCAAUCCAUUUUGAGAGCCCCUAUCGACAAAUGGGUUUACGACCUCGAUGUUGGAUCAGGGUACCCAAGUGGUGCAGCCGCUACUAAUGGUUUGUUUGUUCAACAAUU
RNAcentral lists this non-coding RNA (2437 nucleotides) under Fejervarya vittigera (Luzon wart frog). RNAcentral's name for it is "partial contains tRNA-Phe, 12S ribosomal RNA, tRNA-Val, and 16S ribosomal RNA". The stretch from base 1090 to 2437 matches the Rfam family "Bacterial large subunit ribosomal RNA", at positions 1 to 2589 of the family's 2925-position model. The record is from RNAcentral. Lineage: Eukaryota; Metazoa; Chordata; Amphibia; Anura; Dicroglossidae.